RNAcentral lists this ribosomal RNA (361 nucleotides) under uncultured bacterium. Its description in RNAcentral is "bacterial SSU rRNA". It matches the Rfam family "Bacterial small subunit ribosomal RNA", at positions 30 to 391 of the family's 1533-position model. The record is from RNAcentral.
AUUGAACGCUGGCGGCAUGCCUUACACAUGCAAGUCGAACGGCAGCACGGGAGCAAUCCUGGUGGCGAGUGGCGAACGGGUGAGUAAUAUAUCGGAACGUGCCCGGGUCGUGGGGGAUAACGUAGCGAAAGCUACGCUAAUACCGCAUACGAUCUACGGAUGAAAGCGGGGGAUCGCAAGACCUCGCGCGAUUGGAGCGGCCGAUAUCAGAUUAGGUAGUUGGUGAGGUAAAGGCUCACCAAGCCGACGAUCUGUAGCUGGUCUGAGAGGACGACCAGCCACACUGGGACUGAGACACGGCCCAGACUCCUACGGGAGGCAGCAGUGGGGAAUUUGGACAAUGGACGCAAGUCUGAUCCAG